RNAcentral lists this ribosomal RNA (253 nucleotides) under uncultured bacterium. RNAcentral describes it as "partial 16S ribosomal RNA". It matches the Rfam family "Bacterial small subunit ribosomal RNA", at positions 524 to 776 of the family's 1533-position model. The record is from RNAcentral.
UACGUAGGGUGCAAGCGUUAAUCGGAAUUACUGGGCGUAAAGCGUGCGCAGGCGGUUAUGUAAGACAGGUGUGAAAUCCCCGGGCUUAACCUGGGAAUUGCAUUUGUGACUGCAUGGCUAGAGUGUGUCAGAGGGGGGUAGAAUUCCACGUGUAGCAGUGAAAUGCGUAGAUAUGUGGAGGAAUACCGAUGGCGAAGGCAGCCCCCUGGGAUAACACUGACGCUCAUGCACGAAAGCGUGGGGAGCAAACAGG